CCUACGGGAGGCAGCAGUAAGGAAUAUUGGUCAAUGGACGCAAGUCUGAACCAGCCAUGCCGCGUGAAGGAUUAAGGCCCUCUGGGUUGUAAACUUCUUUUAUAGGGGACGAAAAAAGGGCAUUCUUGCUCACUUGACGGUACCCUAGGAAUAAGCACCGGCUAACUCCGUGCCAGCAGCCGCGGUAAUACGGAGGGUGCAAGCGUUAUCCGGAUUUACUGGGUUUAAAGGGUGCGUAGGUGGGUUGGUAAGUCAGUGGUGAAAUCUUCGAGCUUAACUCGGAAACUGCCAUUGAUACUAUCAAUCUUGAAUCAUCUAGAGGUAAGCGGAAUAUGUCAUGUAGCGGUGAAAUGCUUAGAUAUGACAUAGAACACCAAUUGCGAAGGCAGCUUACUAUGGAUGUAUUGACACUGAGGCACGAAAGCGUGGGGAUCAAACAGGAUUAGAUACCCUGGUAGUCCACGCCCUAAACGAUGGAUACUCGACAUUUGUGAUAUACUAUAAGUGUNUGAGNGAAGANAUAAGUAUACCACCAGGAGUACGACCGCGAGUAGAAGUAAAGUAAAGUAGAGNGNGAGAGAGCGAGACGACGACGAGGGAGGAGG
RNAcentral lists this ribosomal RNA (605 nucleotides) under uncultured bacterium. Its description in RNAcentral is "bacterial SSU rRNA". The stretch from base 1 to 534 matches the Rfam family "Bacterial small subunit ribosomal RNA", at positions 338 to 873 of the family's 1533-position model. The record is from RNAcentral.